RNAcentral lists this ribosomal RNA (253 nucleotides) under uncultured bacterium. RNAcentral's name for it is "partial 16S ribosomal RNA". It matches the Rfam family "Bacterial small subunit ribosomal RNA", at positions 524 to 776 of the family's 1533-position model. The record is from RNAcentral.
UACGUAGGGUGCAAGCGUUGUCCGGAAUUAUUGGGCGUAAAGAGCUCGUAGGCGGUUUGUCGCGUCGAAUGUGAAAACCCGGGGCUCAACCCCGGGCCUGCAUUCGAUACGGGCAGACUAGAGUUCGGUAGGGGAGUCUGGAAUUCCUGGUGUAGCGGUGAAAUGCGCAGAUAUCAGGAGGAACACCGGUGGCGAAGGCGGCCUGCUGGGCAGUGGCUGACGCUGAGGCGCGACAGCGUGGGGAGCAAACAGG